Molecule: ribosomal RNA, 253 nt
Filed under: uncultured bacterium
Lineage: Bacteria
Description: partial 16S ribosomal RNA
Rfam family: Bacterial small subunit ribosomal RNA
Source: RNAcentral
UACGUAGGGUCCAAGCGUUAAUCGGAAUUACUGGGCGUAAAGCGUGCGCAGGCGGUUUUGUAAGCCAGAUGUGAAAUCCCCGGGCUUAACCUGGGAAUGGCAUUUGGGACUGCAAGGCUCGAGUGCGGCAGAGGAGACUGGAAUUCCUGGUGUAGCAGUGAAAUGCGUAGAUAUCAGGAGGAACACCGAUGGCGAAGGCAGGUCUCUGGGCUGAAACUGACGCUCAUGCACGAAAGCGUGGGGAGCAAACAGG